AGUGAACGCUGGCGGUAGGCCUAACACAUGCAAGUCGAACGGCAGCACAGUAAGAGCUUGCUCUUACGGGUGGCGAGUGGCGGACGGGUGAGGAAUACAUCGGAAUCUACUUUUUCGUGGGGGAUAACGUAGGGAAACUUACGCUAAUACCGCAUACGACCUACGGGUGAAAGCAGGGGAUCUUCGGACCUUGCGCGAUUGAAUGAGCCGAUGUCGGAUUAGCUAGUUGGCGGGGUAAAGGCCCACCAAGGCGACGAUCCGUAGCUGGUCUGAGAGGAUGAUCAGCCACACUGGGACUGAGACACGGUCCAGACUCCUACGGGAGGCAGCAGUGGGGAAUAUUGGACAAUGGGCGCAAGCCUGAUCCAGCCAUACCGCGUGGGUGAAGAAGGCCUUCGGGUUGUAAAGCCCCUUUGUUGGGAAAGAAAAGCAGCAGGUUAAUACCCCGCUGUUCUGACGGUACCCAAAGAAUAAGCACCGGCUAACUUCGUG
RNAcentral lists this ribosomal RNA (492 nucleotides) under uncultured bacterium. RNAcentral's name for it is "partial 16S ribosomal RNA". It matches the Rfam family "Bacterial small subunit ribosomal RNA", at positions 29 to 507 of the family's 1533-position model. The record is from RNAcentral.